UGUGAAGGGCCGAAAGGGACUGUGAGGGGACGAGAUGGGAUGAGAAGGGACGCGAGGGGACUGAGAGGAGUCAUGAGGACACGAGAGGGUGCGUGAGGGACGGAGAGGGGACGUGAGGAGAAGUGAGGCGCUGGGAAGGGCCGUGAAGGGCCUGGGGAUUUACAGCGCUGUCAAUUAUUGACAUUGUGGGGUCAGGGCUCUGCUGCCAAAACAUUUCACGUUGUUUCAUGGGUUAAACAGAGCCUGUGUUUCGUUUUGAUCUUCGGGACAUGCUACAUGUUGUGUCUCCAGGUGACUGUGCGGAUUUCACAGAAUAUUCAAAGUUGGAAGGGACCCACAAGGAUCAUUGAGUCCAAGAACAAGGAGCAGAUAGACUGAUCUACCAUGACAGUUCCCAUGGAGCCAACAAGCCUGAGAACAAAGGAAGUGAGAAAAGCAAAUGUCCGUGAAACCCACCACAACCACCACAGUUCUGCUUUCUUCUCGCUGCCGCAAGGAGCCAGAGUAAUUAGUUCAAUAAUUAGUGUUUAGUAACAGAGGGACAGAUGCUGGCUCUGCACAAACACACCUCCUCAGGGCUGCGCUCUCACGGAUUCGUCAGGAUGAGAGUCAGAGUCAGCUGGCAAGAAAAAGGUGGCAAAAAAGAUUUGCCUUAUUAGACAAUUUCUGAUCCUGGGUUGUUACUCAUGCUUGGCACACAGAGGCAGCCACGGAACAGGUAAAAUGUUUGCCAUUAAGGAGGUUCUAAAUGUCACACAGACUUUUAGCACUGGAUCAAGCCCCUUAUUAGGAUGUUUAUGUUAUGAAAGCUAGUUUAGGAAUCUGUUUUUUUACUAAACAACAUACUCCUUCCCCAGCUUGUAGCAGAUGAGGUGUUUAGAAGGAAAUCCUCGGAGAUAAUCCUGUCAUAACUCUGAUCUGUCAUUCCUAAAUCCAGUCUUGACCCUGGAAAUGUGGCUGUUUUCAGUAUGAGGCUGGGUUAACUUCGAGAAAUAGGGUUCUGACUGCUGUGGUAGUGGGGAUAUCUGACUAUGUGUGUAAUAUUUAUCAAGUUAAUUGAAUUUAUAAUGCAGUGAGUAAAAGCUUUAGUUAUCACACUCAACACCUUACAGGACUGAGCCCUUGUGUUGCAGAUUUCUUGAGACAGAGAUUGUAUAUUUGGUGGGUUUUUUUUUUAAGUACUAUUUGUGUAUCCCUACAUAUGUGUUUUUUAUACAUAGAUAGGCUGAAUAACAGCAUGGAAAUUUCAUGCUGACAUCUCCAUUGUCAGAUGCUGUGGAGUUUGUUACUGGUCUGGUAAAACUGGUUUUUUCCUCAGGUGUUCAUCAACGGCUGUCAGGGAAUUAUGAGGGAAUCUCAGAUCUAUAUGAGAAUCUCAGAUUUCAUUUCAUUUUAAAACAGAUUUUGAUGUUUCAACUUGGAAAAUAUCAGCCCCACAGGUUAAAAAAGGCAAAUAAAGUGGACUCAGCAUUUAUUAUU
Molecule: long non-coding RNA, 1479 nt
Organism: Vidua chalybeata
Lineage: Eukaryota; Metazoa; Chordata; Aves; Passeriformes; Viduidae
Exons: 3
Source: RefSeq, a predicted model, not a curated record